UCGGGUUGUAAAGCACUUUUGUCCGGAAAGAAAACCUCCCGGUUAAUACCUGGGGGGGAUGACGGUACCGGAAGAAUAAGCACCGGCUAACUACGUGCCAGCAGCCGCGGUAAUACGUAGGGUGCGAGCGUUAAUCGGAAUUACUGGGCGUAAAGCGUGCGCAGGCGGUGCUGUAAGACCGAUGUGAAAUCCCCGGGCUUAACCUGGGAACUGCAUUGGUGACUGCAGCGCUGGAGUAUGGCAGAGGGGGGUGGAAUUCCACGUGUAGCAGUGAAAUGCGUAGAGAUGUGGAGGAACACCGAUGGCGAAGGCAGCCCCCUGGGCCAAUACUGACGCUCAUGCACGAAAGCGUGGGGAGCAAACAGGAUUAGAUACCCUGGUAGUCCACGCCCUAAACGAUGUCAACUGGUUGUCGGGCCUUCAUUGGCUUGGUAACGUAGCUAACGCGUGAAGUUGACCGCCUGGGGAGUACGGUCGCAAGAUUAAAACUAAA
Molecule: ribosomal RNA, 493 nt
Filed under: Paraburkholderia piptadeniae
Lineage: Bacteria; Pseudomonadati; Pseudomonadota; Betaproteobacteria; Burkholderiales; Burkholderiaceae
Description: bacterial SSU rRNA
Rfam family: Bacterial small subunit ribosomal RNA
Source: RNAcentral